GUCCAUGCCGUAAACGAUGAUUACUAGGUGUUGGGGGAUUGACCCCCUCAGUGCCGCAGUUAACACAAUAAGUAAUCCACCUGGGGAGUACGACCGCAAGGUUGAAACUCAAAGGAAUUGACGGGGGCCCGCACAAGCAGUGGAGUAUGUGGUUUAAUUCGAAGCAACGCGAAGAACCUUACCAGGUCUUGACAUCCGAUGCAUAGCACAGAGAUGUGUGAAAUCCUUCGGGACAUCGAGACAGGUGGUGCAUGGUU
RNAcentral lists this ribosomal RNA (257 nucleotides) under uncultured bacterium. RNAcentral describes it as "partial 16S ribosomal RNA". It matches the Rfam family "Bacterial small subunit ribosomal RNA", at positions 793 to 1050 of the family's 1533-position model. The record is from RNAcentral.